This 433-nucleotide ribosomal RNA is filed under the name uncultured bacterium. RNAcentral describes it as "partial 16S ribosomal RNA". It matches the Rfam family "Bacterial small subunit ribosomal RNA", at positions 29 to 507 of the family's 1533-position model. The record is from RNAcentral.
AACGAACGCUGGCGGCAUGCCUAACACAUGCAAGUCGAACGAUACCUUCGGGUCUAGUGGCGCACGGGUGCGUAACGCGUGGGAACCUGCCCUUAGGUUCGGAAUAACUCCCCGAAAGGGGUGCUAAUACCGGAUAAUGUCUUCGGACCAAAGAUUUAUCGCUUUUGGAUGGGCCCGCGUUGGGUUAGCUAGUUGGUAGGGUAAAAGCCUACCAAGGCGAGGAUCCAUAGCUGGUCUGAGAGGAUGAUGAGCCAGACUGGGACUGAGACACGGCGCAGACUCGUACAGGAGGCAGCAGUGGGGGAUAGUGGGCAGUGGGCGAAAGCCUGAUCCAGCAAUGCCGCGUGAGUGAUGAAGGCCUUAGGGUUGUAAAGCUCUCUUACCCGGGAUGAUAAUGACAGUACCGGGAGAAUAAGCGCCGGCUAACUCCGUG